CCCAGUGGGGGCAAGUGCCCCCUUAUGGCUCUUACUAAACGCAUAUGAUUUUACUAUAUAUACAUAGACAUAUACACGUUCUUUCAUACUUUCAAUUUUCAACUUUCAAGUACAUAGUAAGAUGAAGGCUUUCACUUAUGUUCUGAUCAGUCUCCUUGUUUUUUCCAUUGGCAUAGGGAAUGAAAGGCUAAUGAAAGUAACAGAGUCUGUCUCAAACCAUUGUACACAAACACUCAACAGUGAAAUAUGUGUAGCAGAUCACCAGUGCGAUGAUAUUUGCAAAAACCAUUUUGGAAGGCUAGCAAGUGGGUUUUGCAUUAAUAGCAAAUGUAUGUGUCAGUACCCACCUCCAUGUCACAAUUUGUAGUCCUAUGUUUGCAACAUUUUCCCUUUGAAAAAAUGUUUCAAUAAUGGAAAAUAAAAAGCUUAAAAUAUAUAAAUAAAUGAUGUUUCUAUGAA
Long non-coding RNA from Arachis duranensis, 459 nucleotides. RefSeq lists it as uncharacterized. The record is from RefSeq and is a predicted model, not a curated record. Lineage: Eukaryota; Viridiplantae; Streptophyta; Magnoliopsida; Fabales; Fabaceae. The transcript is spliced from 2 exons.